RNAcentral lists this ribosomal RNA (194 nucleotides) under uncultured bacterium. RNAcentral's name for it is "partial 16S ribosomal RNA". It matches the Rfam family "Bacterial small subunit ribosomal RNA", at positions 338 to 524 of the family's 1533-position model. The record is from RNAcentral.
CCUACGGGAGGCAGCAGUGGGGAAUUUUGGACAAUGGGGGCAACCCUGAUCCAGCCAUCCCGCGUGUGCGAUGAAGGCCUUCGGGUUGUAAAGCACUUUUGGCAGGGAAGAAAAGGCGCCGGCUAACACCUGGCGCUGCUGACGGUACCUGCAGAAUAAGCACCGGCUAACUACGUGCCAGCAGCCGCGGUAAU